Molecule: transfer RNA, 87 nt
Filed under: archaeon GW2011_AR5
Lineage: Archaea
Description: tRNA-Ile
Rfam family: tRNA
About the family: Transfer RNA (tRNA) molecules are approximately 80 nucleotides in length.
Source: RNAcentral
GGGACGGUAGCUUAGCCUGGUAGAGCACUUGACUGAUAUCGCAUGUCAGAGAUCAAGAGGUCGCCAGUUCAAAUCUGGUCCGUCCCA